ACUUUUGUGGUCCGCUUUCCUUGCUGAUGGAGAGGAAUAGUGUCACUCCCAUUUGACUCGGUAACCCGGCAGCUUCCUGUCUUAAACGCAGAGCUGGCGCGCAGGACACUCCUCCUGCAGACACUUAUUACACAAGUUCAUCUGCACCUCGUGCAAAGCAGCCCUGAAAGCUCAGGCUUGAAGACAAAAUGUGGAGCCCAGGCUCCUUCGAUUGAAAACCUCUCUACGAGGACACUCUCCGCAGUGGGCGGCCAGAAAGGAUUUCGGAUCAAGAUCCGCAGAGUGUUCCAGCUGCCUCCUGGAUGCCUCCACUGGAAGGCUGACGAGCACCUUCAAUUUCACGUGUUCACUUCAGAGCACCCCCGAUCCCGCUACCCCUGCUGCCCUGAUCUGCGCCUUCCCAGUUUCUCCCAGUCACCCAGCUGGCCACCCCCCAGGAGACAUCCCUGAUCCCUCAUUUUCUCUCUAGAGCCACCUCCUGUCCCUUAGCAAGGCCUGCUGGCUCUGCCUCCACGUCUUUUCCACAGCUCCCCCAUACUCCUGCGUCCUCCACCAGCCCCCAAGCCCUUUCCCCCUCCACCUGCAGGGUUGCAUGGCCUCCUAACCAGCUCUCCACCUCACACAUGUGCCCUGUGGUCCACCGCUCUCCCUACAACAGAGUAAGCUUCAGCUCAGACCUACCCUUGGUCAAAACCAGUGGUUUCCAUGUGCAUGAGAAUUAGACACAUCCUUACAAUGUCCUUCAAGGCACAAUGAAAUCCACCAGCCACCUCCCUCACCUGAGGUUCUAAGUCUAGUUUUGCCAGUUCUUGAGCCUCCAAGCCAUGGCCACCUCAGGGGAGCUCUUUUCCUUUGGUCCUGACUCUUUGUUCAUCUGGUACAUUCUUUCUCCAUAUCUUUGGGCACAGACUGUUCCCCAGAGAAGGGUCACAUGAUCUAAAAUGACUCCCUAAUCCAGGUGUGUUCCCCACAGCACUUAUGGCUACUUGCAGUUGUAAAGGUGUUGGUGCGUUUAUUAUUGGUCUCUCAUCUAGAACAUACCUUCCAGAGGGCAGGGCCUCGUCUUCCUGGCUGUACCCCCAGUCCUGCUAAAGGGACUGGCACACAGUAACAUGAAGCCAGUGCUCCCAGACUUUUUGGUCACAGGACUGCUUUAUGCUCUUAGAAAUUUACUGAGCCCCCCAAAGAGCUUUUGUAUAUAGCAACGGAUAGAUUUAGAUGUCUAUCCGGUGAUUUGCGCAGUAUGAUGAAAUGGUAAUGUUUUAAAUAUAUUGAUUAAUUGAUUCAUUUACAAUGACAAUAAAAACCCACUUCAUGUUUACUUAACAUAUUUUAAUGAACACUUAUUCUAUUCCCCCAAACAAAAAAAAAUUAGUCUGGAGAGUGGUGUACAUGUUUGCACCCCUCUUUAAUAUCUGGCUUAAUAGAAGAUAGUUGGAUUCUCAUUUUUGUUUGUGCAAUCCAUUAUUUUGGUUCAAGUAUAUGAAGAAAAUGCAACCUGUCACAGAUAUGCAGUUGAAAACUGGAGGAGUAUUUUAUUAGCCUUGGCAGAUAAUUGUGAACAUUUUUCCUUGAUAUUACCCCCAAAUUCAACAAAUGGUGGUUUCUUAAAGGUUGGUUGCAAUGUGGAAUCUGAAACCAUGUCAAUGAACAUUUCAUACUCUAUUACAUUAAAAUCCAUUUAUCUGUCUUGCACUUUGAAUGGCUCUUUUGCCCACAAAAUAUUUCCUUCCUUCCUUCCUUCCUCCUCCCUCCCUCCCUCCCUCCCUCCCUCCCUCCCUCCCUCCCUCCUUCCCCUUUUCCUUCCCCUUCCCCUUCCCUUCCCUUCCCUUUCUUUUUGACAGAGUCUCUCUCUGUCACCCAGGCUAGAGUGCAGUGAUACAAUCUCUGCUCACUGCAACCUUGCUUCCUGGGUUCAAGUGAUUCUCCUGCCUCAGCCUCCCCAGAAGCUGGGAUUACAGGUGCAUGCCACCACACCCAGUUAAUUUUUUGUAUUUUUAGUAGAGAUGGGGUUUCACCAUGUUGGCCAGGCUGGUUUCAAACUCCUGACCUCAAGUAACCCACCUGCCUCAGCCUGCAAAAUAUUUCAUGCCACUGUAUAUUGGUCAUUUGGAAAAUAUUGGUUCACUGAGUUAUGCAGGUCUUCCAAAUGUCGAACUAUUUCCUUAAACAGUAUCACAAAAUCACAUUUGUUAAUAUCACCACUAAUCUUAUUGGAAAACUCUUUAAAUUUGGGAGGUUGUCUGACUCAUGAUGUUGGAUACAAGUUUUCAAGAAUUUUAAUUUUCACUUAAAAACUCACAUUUUACCUUUAGUGGUAAAUACUACUUUCCUCAACACGACAGGGUAGUUUCAUUUAUUUUUGCAAAGGUGUCUGUCAAAGACCUAAGUCUCAAUAACCAUGAUUUGUCUGUUGGGUGCCGUUCCAUGUAAAAUGAGGCUCCAUGAAAAAGCGGGCUCAGUCAGCUCAUGGCUGUAGCCCGCCCGUCCUUUUCCUCGAUGGCCGCUGUUCUUCUGUAUGACAGCUCCCCCUUUCUUCACCCAGAAUAUUGAAAAGACAUGUGCUCCAGAGCUGAGCUUUAAUAAAACUAUUUUUUUUUCACUGUUUCUUCAAGAACAUUCUUAAGUAAAACCUGCAUUUGAAAAAAAAAAAAAAACCUGUGAGUGUGUGGCUGUGAAGAGCACAAUGUCUGCUACCAAUGGCCAAUAACAACCUUUAAUGGCCUUCAUCCAUGUGGAGCUGGACUCACUGGUUUAACGGCCUUCAUCCAUGUGGAGCUGGACUCACUGGUUUAACGGCCUUCAUCCAUGUGGAGCUGGGCUCACUGGUUUAACGGCCUUCAUCCCUGUGGAGCUGGGCUCACUGGUUCAACGGCCUUCAUCCACGUGGAGCUGGGCUCACUGGUUUAACGGCCUUCAUCCCUGUGGAGCUGGACUCACUGGUUCAACGGCCUUCAUCCAUGUGGAGCUGGACUCACUGGUUUAAUGGACUUCAUCCAUGUGGAGCUGGACUCACUGGUUUAACGGCCUUCAUCCAUGUGGAGUUGGACUCAGUGGUUUAACGGCCUUCAUCCAUGUGGAGCUAGACUCACUUUUUUUUUUUUUUUUUGCACAUCAAUGCUGAUGUCUACAUGCAACAAAGCUACAUAAUGACUCACAGUGUAACUGUAAAAAAAAGUUUGGAGGUUGUCUUAGGGAACCCCAGGAUCUGCACUAAAUGAGAUUUCAUAAAUGAAUGAAUGACUUUUCCUACACAAUCACGUAUGGUGGAUCCUAGAUGUCCACAGUUUCUCAUCUAAAGCUCUGGGCCACAGACACGUUUCAGAAUUUCUUUGAUUUUGGACAGGUCAGGUGGUGCACAUAUCAUGUGCCACCUAACCCCGUGGGGUGUGAGCAGGGCCCUAUCUAACACAGUCAUAGUUCUGUGGUAAAUACAGGAAAAGCUGAACCAGCAGGUAACAGCCACAAGGAGCCUAUGUCUGUUCAAGUCAGGUUCUGCUGUCCAAGGAGUUAGGAAGACACCCUCCCAUUUUGAAAGCAUUUGGAUUUUGGAGUUGUAGACCAGGGGUUGUGGGCCUAUCUCCUGAUCUCCACUCCACAAGGGUACCUCGGGGAACAGACGGCCAAGGUCUCCUGGCGGGUGAAGGAGCUGGGAAUGGAGCACCCAGGGCCUGUUGAGCUUCCACUCUGUCAUCUCCCCUCCCCUCCCCGCCCCGUGACCUCAACCACAUGGCCCUCCUAACACGAAGGCUUCCAAGGCCUUUCCUGCCCGGCCCUGGGAUUCCUUUCCCCUUCUCCAGCCUUGUGUCCUCCACACACUCUGAACUGUGGCCAUGCAGGGCCACUCUGCGUGGUCCUCUGAUAUUCCAGCAUAAUCUCUCUGAUCAUUCUGGACUCUGGGCCUUGUCUCUCUAGGGCUAUAGCACCUAUUGGUGCCUCUCAGCUUACCUGACCUCCCUGGGAUACACUUCUUUUUUAAUUUAGUUUUUAAUAUUUAUGGGUACAUAGUAGGUGUAUAUAUUUGUGGGGUGUGAGACGUUUUGAUUCAGGAACAUGUGCAGUAAUUACAUCAUGGAAGAUAAGAGUAUCUAUUCCUUCAAGCAUUUACCCUCUGUGUUACCAACAAUCCAAUUAUACCCUUUUAGUUAUUCUUAAAUGUACAAUGAAAUUAUUAUUGACUAUAGUCACUCCUUUGUGCUAUCAAAUAGUAGAUCUUAUUCAUUCUUUCUAAUGACUUUUUUGUACCCAUUAGCUAUCUCCACUUCCCUAUUGCUGAAGGACCACUUUGGAUUCCUGAACUCCCAAGGGACUUUCCAGCUUUUGGACUUUCGUUUUUCCAGUAUCACUUAUGAGGACCCAAGUUCUACCAGGGCUUCUCCUACAUUGAAAAUGAUUAUAUCUAAGAUUCAAACAGAAAUUUUGUGUCUUGGCAAAUUUGAUAUCUGGAGGGUGAAUAUUAUUUAGAAAACAACCACCUUCUACUUUCUGCUUCUAUGAAUUUGAUGAUUCUAGGAGCCUCAUGCGAGUGGCAUCUUGUAUUAUAGUAUUUGUCUUUUUGUGUCUGGCUUGUUUCACUCAGCAUAAUAUGCUCAAGGUUCAGCUGCGCUGUGGCCUGUGUCGGGCUUUCCUUCCUUUCUAAGGCUACUAUUCCACUGUGUGUAUGUAGGCAACACUUGCACACCACAUUUUCCGUACCCAUCCAUCCCUCUGUGAACACUUGGGAGGGAUUGGGGACUGCAUGGCCCCCAGCCAUAGGUGUGCUGAGCACGUAAGAUGUACCCAGUGUGGCUGAAGAGUGGAAUUUUUAAUUUUAAUUAACAUAAAUGUAGAUUUACAAAUAGAUUUUCAAUUCAGCUCCUGGGAAACCCCCAAAGAUGUCUGAAAUAACUUGGGCGUGUGACGCUACCUUUUUACCUGCAAGCUUAAUGAACCCUAAAUGCAGGUCAAGUAUUUGCCAUGGAAAUGCAAUGCCCAAGCUGAGAUAUGCUAGAGGUGUAAAAUGCAUGCUGGAAUUGGAAGACCUAGUACCAAAAAAAAAAAUUGGAUGUAAAAUGUCUUGUUAAUUUGUAUAUUGAUUACUUUUGAAAUAAUAAUAUUUUGGAUAUAUUAGGUCAACUAAAAUAUUACUUAAAUUAACUGCACCUGUCUCUGGUGUUCAUGUGGCUGCUAAAAAGAUUAAAAUUGC
RNAcentral lists this long non-coding RNA (5185 nucleotides) under Homo sapiens (human). RNAcentral's name for it is "non-protein coding lnc-CNPY1-1:7". The record is from RNAcentral. Lineage: Eukaryota; Metazoa; Chordata; Mammalia; Primates; Hominidae.